UACGGAGGGGGCUAGCGUUGUUCGGAAUUACUGGGCGUAAAGCGCGCGUAGGCGGACCUGCAAGUCGGGGGUGAAAGCCCGAGGCUCAACCUCGGAACUGCCUUCGAUACUGCGGGUCUCGAGUCCGGGAGAGGUGAGUGGAAUUCCUAGUGUAGAGGUGAAAUUCGUAGAUAUCAGGAGGAACACCGGUGGCGAAGGCGGCUGCCUGGACAUCCACUGACGCUGAGACGCGAAAGCGUGGGGAGCAAACAGG
This 253-nucleotide ribosomal RNA is filed under the name uncultured bacterium. Its description in RNAcentral is "partial 16S ribosomal RNA". It matches the Rfam family "Bacterial small subunit ribosomal RNA", at positions 524 to 776 of the family's 1533-position model. The record is from RNAcentral.